RNAcentral lists this ribosomal RNA (304 nucleotides) under uncultured bacterium. Its description in RNAcentral is "partial 16S ribosomal RNA". It matches the Rfam family "Bacterial small subunit ribosomal RNA", at positions 506 to 807 of the family's 1533-position model. The record is from RNAcentral.
CAGCAGCAGCCACGGUAACACGGAGGGGGCUAGCGUUGUUCGGAAUUACUGGGCGUAAAGCGUACGUAGGCGGCUUUGUAAGUUAGAGGUGAAAGCCUGGUGCUCAACACCAGAACUGCCUUUAAGACUGCAUCGCUUGAACGUCGGAGAGGUGAGUGGAAUUCCGAGUGUAGAGGUGAAAUUCGUAGAUAUUCGGAAGAACACCAGUGGCGAAGGCGGCUCACUGGACGACUGUUGACGCUGAGGUACGAAAGCGUGGCGAGCAAACAGGAUUAGAUACCCCCGUAGUCCCUGUCUCUUAUAC